Molecule: long non-coding RNA, 4136 nt
Organism: Oncorhynchus tshawytscha (Chinook salmon)
Lineage: Eukaryota; Metazoa; Chordata; Actinopteri; Salmoniformes; Salmonidae
Source: Ensembl
UUCGGUAAUAGACCGUCGCGAGAACACCACAGAGAAGACAACUUUUCCGUCUGCUCUCGUGGAGUCUGAGAUGGACUGUUUUUUUAUCGUUUGGUGAAACGGUAUCUGUGAGAACUGACAACCUCGCCUGUAACCGCGCUCCCUCUGUGGCCCCUUUGACAGUGGUUGUGGUUUGUGUUGUACGGAAUUGAAGCCUGACAGAAAUCUAUCAUGCCUACCUACACUCUGUGGGUUCCCUUGAGUGAUUUCAAGACCGAUAAGCCAUAUUGAAUGACGGCACUGUAAAACUUUAAAUUUCAGUGAUUAGGUUAUAUUUAGUACUGUUAUAACUAGGCUGAAGAGUCUGAUCAGUCUGAUUCACAUGGUCCAAUAAUUUAAGUAUGUCACACAUGGGCAAAUAACACGUUUACCACGUACUACCAAGUACGAUUUUAAGUCUGAUCAAGACAUGACAAAGUGAUGGCAGACGAGCAUUCCUGUCCCCCCUGUGAAUUUAAUGUUGCUUCAAUUUUUCUCCUAGAAAACAGCAGUACACUUCAGAAAUCAUUGACAAUCCUUUCUUCUAGCUUCCCCAAUGAUUCAAAACCUCUGAUAGGUAGUGGAUGGAUGCUGCUGUGAAUGACUGAAUAAAAUGGUGAUAUUAAUCAAUCAAUGUAUACAUGCAGUAACAUGUUGGCUUUGAAUGGAAGGAAAGCUGAUGUGAUGCCCCUUUCUCUCUCUCUCACAAUGUGGGGGUUGUGAUUGUCUGUGGCUGGUGUGCACAAGAUGGUGAAGUUAACACCCAAUCAUGUCAUACCCCAAUUACCUCCAGGUACUACAAUCUGCCAUUGUCACACCAGACUGACCACAGACCUGUAUCACUGAUCAAUUUUUAAAAAUGCAUUCAAAGGAACACCUCAUUCAAAGCAUUGCCAACACCUGCAGUUGGAUAUUUGAUUAGCUGUCAGUGAUGGCGUGAAAUGUUAUAUGUCCAGGUUUCAGCAGGACAAGCAUUGUGCCCCAUCCAUAAGAGAGAGCAGAUUAAGCUUUUCUGUGUGACUUGUGAUCAGCGGACUUGCCGUGAUUACCUCGACUAACCUGUAAGUAAGCAUUUCACUGUAAGCUCUACGGCGCAUGUGGCAUACGAUUUGAUUGUCAGCUAACCAUCAACAGGGAACACAAGUAAGAUUUCCCUCAAGCACCUCUUUGCUGGCAACCCCGAAGGUGGCAUCAGUUCCCUCAUGCCUUACAUUACUUCCUAUGCCAAAAACACUUGAUGUUUUUUUUAAACUAAGUAUAUUUAACUCUUUCCUCUGCUUCCUUCAGGAUAUUUUUUUUAAAGAUCCCACUCUCUCAUUUUUCUGUUUAUUUUCUCUAGGUACCAGUUAGCCCAGGAUGCUUUGCCAGAGCAGAGGAAAUGGUUACAGUAUCUAAUGGAGACUUUGAGGACAGAGAGAGUGACCGUGCAACAGGACCUAGAUGGACGGCUGUCUGACUUGGAGGAUCAGCUGGAGAGUGUUGGAGCGGAGGUCAAGGAUAUCCUCAAGGGCAUCUGGAGUGUCCUGGUGAAGAGAGCCAUGCAGCUUUCCAAGGAAAUGCAGCUUUAGGUCAGUGUCCCCAACUGCACUCAGGAAGAUGACAUUGACCUCACCCUUCACCUAGCAAUGAACUCUGCUCUCCUAUAGAGGAGUGUGAUGACCGUAUGGAUGAUUUUCAUGUCGGUGCUGCUGACAGUAUUGAAGAGACUGGGUGCCAGGUGUCUGUUGGGCUUAAUAGCAGGUGUCUUUGCUUCGGAUACCCAUCCUUGGUGCCCCGCCAACCCGCUUCUGCCGCCUCCCAGGUGUCAAAGGGCAGGAAACUGUCGUUCAGCAGUCAGAGUCUCCUUGCUCCUCUAUGUUGAGCCCAGACAGUCUUGAGGCACACCCCGUGCAGCUACGACCCCCUCCUGGCCAGGAGGAAGCUCACCCCUGUGUGUCACGUGUGGACGCCGCUUCCACAGGAAGUGUCACAUUCUGCCCAUCUAUGCCUUAUCCACCACCUCUCUUAACAUCGUCCUGAUACGGGGACUGUUGCUGCGGAAACUGCCCCCUCCCCUCACCGCACCCAGUCAGAAUUUGUGUCCAAUGUCUGGCUUCUCCACACACUGUUGAAGAGCGUGAAGUAUUCCAAGUCAGUGGACCGAUUUGAGGCAUGUUUCGGGAGGGAGCUGGUCAAAACGCUUGUGGGGAUCCUGCACCCUUCGCUGCUCGUCAACCCCCACCAAGGGGAAGCGGAGAGGAGUGCAGAACAAGAGGGGGGCAAGGAGAAAGUGUCCAUGAGGAGAAUCCAAGGCCUCUAGAGGAGCACGCAGGCAGAGUUCUUUCACACAGGACUCGAUGAAAGCUGGAGAAUGGCAGCAGAAGGCCGUAUUUGUGUAUUUAAUUUGGUCUUUGAAUUCCUUGGUGAACAUAUUUGUACAUAGUUGCAGCCAAAUAUUGGCACCCUUGCACUUUUUUUUCCUUUAAAAAAAAAAAUUUCUUCUAAAAUAACUUGAAAUUUGGAAAAACCUUUGGUAUCUACACCUUACUGUAUUUUCAACAUUACAGACCCAAUUUACCCAAUUGGUAAAUUUAAGUUUACAAUUUGGCAUGUACAAAAUGAUUGGCAAGUACUUGGUUGCAUAGCCUUUGGCCAAGAACUACAGACAAAUGCUUCUUGUAGGCAUCAGUAAGGUGGCUGCAUCUUAUUACUGGUGAUUUUACUCAGCCUUCAGAAGCAAACUGCUCUAAUUCUUUAAUGUUUGAGGGGUGCCCUCCACCAACUGCUGUUGUCAGCUCUCGCCAUAGGUUAUGGAUGUGGCAACUGCUCGGCCUCGUUCCUGCCAUCCAGGACCUCCUAUACCAGGCGGUGUCAGAGGAGGCCCUAAAAAUUGUCAGACUCCAGCCACCCUAGUCAUAGACUGUUCUCUCUGCUACCACACGGCAAGCUGUGCCAAGUCUAGGUCCAAAGGUCUUAACAGCUUCUACCCCCAAGCCAUAACUCCUGAACAGCUAAUCAAAUGGCUACCCAGACUAUUUUCAUUGCCCCCUUUCCUGCACCUAUUUUAUGCUGCUGCUACUCUCUGUGUAUUAUCUAUACAUAGUCACUUUAACUCUACCUACAUGUACAUAUUACUUCUACUAACCGGUACCUACUCACAUUGACUCUGUACCGGUAGCCCCUGUAUAUAGCCUCGCUAUUUGUUAUUUUACUGCUGCUCUUUAAUCAUUUGUUACUUUUUAUAUAAUUUGGUUGUGUGUGUAUAUAUAAAAAAUAAAAUAUAUAUAUAUUUUUUUUUACUUAACACUUGUUUUUCUUACAAGUUAAGUAAGCAUUUCACUGUAAGGUCAACACCGGUUGUAUUCGGCGCAUGUGACAAAUACAAUUUGAUUUGAUUCAGAUCUGGCCACUCCAGAACAGUCCAGCGUUUCUUCUUGAACCAUUCCAGGGUGCCUUUAUAUUUGUUUGGGGUUGUUGUCCUGCUGAAAUUACCAUCAACCUUCCAACCGAGACCAAGUGUUUGGACACUGGGUUGAACAUUGCACUCCAAAACACCUUCAUAAUCUGCGGUUUUGCUUAUGUACAAGGCCCCAAGCACUAGAGGCAGCAAAGCAACCCCACAGCAUUAUCAAACCUUCCCUAUGUGUGUAGUUAUUUUCUUAAUUUGGUUGUUGGUUAACAUAGGAAGCCCCCCACUGCCGAAGAAGACUCAAGAAAGCCUGAUUGAAUGCUGGACUGUAGUGGAGUGGCCAGCCAAUAUUCCAGAUCUACAUCCCAUCCAAAACCUAUGGUAAGAGCUGAAAAUAGCAGUUGGAAGAAUAAGAGCAAUUUGCUGUGAAGUGGGACAAAUUGCCAGUAGGAAGGUGCAGCAAGCUCAUUGAUGGUACAAGAAGUGUUUGUCUGCAGUUGGCCAAAGGCUGUAAUUUUGUCUGCCAAUUGUUUUUCUUUUCUAAAUUAGUAGUUUGCAAAAAUACAAUGGGUUCUAGAAUGUUGCAAAUCCAAGGUCUGGAGACAAAGUUCUCAAUUUCAAACUAUUUUUGAAGAAAUGGGGAAUUAAUUGAGAAGUGCAAGGGUGCCAACUAGUUUGUUACAAAGUUUAUCCCUUGUGUAAAAAUCAACAAUGUUGCACAUGGUUUGAC